Molecule: long non-coding RNA, 1676 nt
Filed under: Homo sapiens (human)
Lineage: Eukaryota; Metazoa; Chordata; Mammalia; Primates; Hominidae
Description: non-protein coding SATB2-AS1:4
Source: RNAcentral
GAAACGCUCUCGGGAGCAGUUCUGUAAAUCCCUGCUGGGAGCAGAGACUGCGAAAAGCUGAGUCCGCCGAUCGUGCCCGGGACAAGGCUGCCUUCCACUCGCCCUCGCCGCAUCUACCUGGUAGGCGGCAUGCGCACGGGCUUAGAGGCUUGAGAGCCUCUGGAAGAGAAAGGGUCCCAGGAAGGAAACCUGCCCCCGGCCUAAGUGUCGGCGCCCAGAUCACCACGAACCCCGCACCUAGGCGCCGCCCACCAAGUUCCAAAGAAGUCCGAGGCGACCUGGGAGUCGGUCGGAUCCCAGCCGAGAAAAGAAACAAGCAGGAUAGCAAUUCUUAGGGGAGCCACCCUGGGAGUUUUAGGCAGCGUUUGCCUUUCCCUGGUUUUCUUCACCAAGCCCCAUCCUCCCCCCGCAUACCACCCCCAGUCAAAAGAGUGGGAGAAAAUGCACAGUUCGAAGUCGGUGAGAGCAAAAAUGGGUCUAGUAAAUCAACCCGUGGUGGUAGCUAAAAGGUUUGGGGCUGCAAAGAAACAAACUGUAAGUUUUGAGCAACAAACUUUUUCUUCAAUCUGUAAUAUGUCGAAAUGGGAAGGGGGUGUUGCAAAAGCCAACUACCACUGUCAAACUUAGCCCGUUUACAACAUGGGGAAAGGCGUAUUUCUUACUAAUAUCUCAACAACGAUAACAAUGCUGUAUCCUUCCUUACCUUGAUGUUGAACUGCGAAUCCUCCUCCGGAUCAAUGUCCAGGAACUUAGAAGAAUUGGUGAUAUUAGGAGUUCAGUACUUCUGGAAAAAAAUGCAAAUGGUUUAGCCAGGAUCUUUCCUGUCUGAUUCGUCACUAUUAUUAUAUCUGAUGAUGCGAAUGGUUGGAGCGAUUCAAUCCUAAGUCAUUAAUGAGCUAUUUUAUAAACACCACUGUCUGAAGAUCUUCAUUUACAUUUUGCUAAGGAUCACUUCGCUAACCUCACAGGCUUGUGUCAACAGCAUGAUUUGCAGGACUUCAGUUACACUCUUAUAAACAACACGGCUGUAUUGUUAAUCGGUUAAUAUUUUAUAAAGUGUAAAUAUUUUAUUAUGUUUUGAAGGGAACUAUUGAUUCUAAAUUAUUAAACCCCUGAGAAGGACUAUUUAAAUGAAAUAUACAAUUAAGUACAAUUAAAUGUACAUUGUGGUUAGUUUGUUUUCAGAUUCUGCACCCUUUUAAAUUCAUUGCUUUUCUCUUUACUGGAGUUUCCUCUUGUCCAUUUCUGAUACUGAAAAAAAUCUAUCAUGUUAGGAAAAAGCCUAAAUUAUUUAAAGUUGCAUUAAACUUAGAGGAAAAUGUCAAAUACGAUUAAUUAUGACCAGAAAUGUAUUUUGGAUGUUUGUAGAGUUGUAUUUCAUAUCACAUUUUACAAAUUUCUUCCGAUUUAAAGGAGAGUUCUAGGAAGUUUUGUGAUCUAUGUCCGGUGUGGGUUUUUGUCCUCUCGAGUUUUGUCUCUAAUAAAGGCCUUUUUUGUUUCAAAUUACAUACGCUUUUUACUGCACAAUUUUUGUAUUGACCUUAUUUCAACUGAAGCGAUUAUUUCCAGCAGGUUUAAUUUCGACAAUAAGAUAUAUUUUAAUAGUUUUACCUUUCGCUAGAAUUUUGUAUUGUUUAAAACAGUAAAUGAAUAAAUUUGCUGAUGAUUCAAGAAUA